This 440-nucleotide ribosomal RNA is filed under the name uncultured bacterium. RNAcentral describes it as "partial 16S ribosomal RNA". It matches the Rfam family "Bacterial small subunit ribosomal RNA", at positions 338 to 795 of the family's 1533-position model. The record is from RNAcentral.
CCUACGGGGGGCAGCAGUGGGGAAUAUUGCACAAUGGGGGAAACCCUGAUGCAGCGACGCCGCGUGAGUGAAGAAGUAAUUCGUUAUGUAAAGCUCUAUCAGCAGGGAAGAAGAUGACGGUACCUGAGUAAGAAGCCCCCGCUAACCAAGGGCCAGAAGCCGCGGUAAUACGUAGGGGGCAAGGGUUAUCCGGAUUUACCGGGUGGAAAGGGAGCGUAGACGGCAGGGCAAGUCUGGAGUGAAAGGCGGGGGCUCAACCCCGGGACUGCUCUGGAAACUGUACGGCUGGAGUGCAGGAGAGGUAAGUGGAAUUCCUAGUGUAGCGGUGAAAUGCGUAGAUAUUAGGAGGAACACCAGUGGCGAAGGCGGCUUACUGGACUGUAACUGACGUUGAGGCUCGAAAGCGUGGGGAGCAAACAGGAUUAGAUACCCUUGUAGUC